UACGGGGGGGGCUAGCGUUGUUCGGAAUUACUGGGCGUAAAGGGCGCGUAGGCGGUCUAUUAAGUUGGAUGUGAAAACUCUGGGCUUAACCCAGAGCCUGCAUUCAAAACUGAUAGGCUGGAGUUCUGGAGGGGAUAGCGGAAUUCCUGGUGUAGCGGUGAAAUGCGUAGAUAUCUGGAGGAACACCGGUGGCGAAGGCGGCAUCCUGGACCGAUAUUGACGCUGAUGCGCGAAAGCCAGGGGAGCAAACGGG
This 253-nucleotide ribosomal RNA is filed under the name uncultured bacterium. Its description in RNAcentral is "partial 16S ribosomal RNA". It matches the Rfam family "Bacterial small subunit ribosomal RNA", at positions 524 to 776 of the family's 1533-position model. The record is from RNAcentral.